This 253-nucleotide ribosomal RNA is filed under the name uncultured bacterium. RNAcentral's name for it is "partial 16S ribosomal RNA". It matches the Rfam family "Bacterial small subunit ribosomal RNA", at positions 524 to 776 of the family's 1533-position model. The record is from RNAcentral.
UACGGAGGGUGCGAGCGUUGUCCGGAAUCAUUGGGCGUAAAGGGCGCGUAGGUGGCCCGGUCAGCGUGCGGUGAAAGCUCGGGGCUCAACCCCGAGUCGGCCGUGCGAACUGCUGGGCUUGAGCACUGUAGAGGCAGGCGGAAUUCCGGGUGUAGCGGUGGAAUGCGUAGAGAUCCGGAAGAACACCGGUGGCGAAGGCGGCCUGCUGGGCAGUGGCUGACACUGAGGCGCGAAAGCGUGGGGAGCGAUCCGG